This 1616-nucleotide long non-coding RNA is filed under the name Sus scrofa (pig). Its description in RNAcentral is "lncRNA (ENSSSCG00065041297.1)". The record is from RNAcentral. Lineage: Eukaryota; Metazoa; Chordata; Mammalia; Artiodactyla; Suidae.
GCUGCUCGCGCCUCCCGCCCCGCCCGCGCGCGCNGGGGGGGGGGGGGGGGGGGGGGGGAGUCGAGGAGGGGCCGCGCCCGGUCCUCGCCCGCAGCGGGCACCGCCGGGGGCCCCGGGAGGCCUUGUUGGUAUUCCGGGCACAGCAGAAGCCCUGACCUCCCCGCGGAACAGGGGCGCCCGGGAGCGCGGCGCGGCCGCCGCCCCCGGGCGGUCUCCCCGGACUGCGGGGCCGUAGGCGCCUUGCUCCCCCUCCUCCCUGUCCCCUCCUCUCCAGGUCCCCCGUACCCCCUCCCCCGGCCUGAUCCGGCGGCGAAGGGGUGGGCAGGGAAACGCGCUCUCUGGGACAGGUGCCAACUCCGAGACAAAAGACAUAAAAUAGGCGGCAACGGGGGAAGCGCGGCCGGCGCGCUCGGGCGGGGACGGAGGCGCCGCGGGGGCCGCAUCCUCGGUGCCGACCGGGGAAAGUUUGGGAAGUCGCCGCGGCGGCUUCGCAGCGGCGGGGGACACGCGGGCCGGGCCGCCCUCCGCGCCGCGCUCGCCCUCUCCGCGCCGCUGCUGAAUAAUUCAUGGCGCGGCCGCCGGCCAUUAGCAUGCACCGGGCGCGCGGCGCGUCUGUGCCCAGCCGUCGCCGCCGCAUUCGGCGCCCCGGCCGCGCUAGACGAGCGGCCGCGCAGAGGCCGGGCCCGCGCCGUCCCCGCGCUCGCCCGCCCGUCCGCCCGUCCGCCCACCCGGCGGCUCCCAUUGUGCCCCAGGCCCGCGCCGCUCCGCCGUCCUGUGACCGCCUGCGCCCCGCAGCGCGCCCGACGGCCGGCCGCUGGAAGUUCGGGCCCGCGGCGCACGCCCUGCCGCCCCGGGAUGCACGUGAACUUGGAGAAAGUCUCGGGGCGCGCCGGCGCAGACCUCCGCGGCAGGGCGUGGGCGCCCCUGGCCCCGCGCGCUUUCGUUUUCGUCUGGGACAAAGGUCCCUCGCGGCGCAGGUCGCGGACGUGGAGGCAGUGCCCUGCGGGCCACUCAGCGGGGAGGUCCGGUCGUUCAGUCAAGGGAAGCCGGAGCCUGGAGAAGACGAGCCGCGCGGUCGGAGGCGCGGUGCGGGACCAGGACAGUGGGGCCUGGCCGUGCGCUUCGCCCUGGCGGUCCAGGAGCUGUCUCGCCCUCCGAAGAGUUACGGGAGGUGGCACUGCUUUUGCUCUCUGCCCUUUCGACACGUGAAGGAGAGAAUCAUUCGGAACCCAGGACUCAGACCGGUGGCCGAGGGCCUGUGCAGCCGCGAGCACGACAGCGCAGCGCUGGCCGCGUCCGCGCGCGUUCCUCCGACAAGGGCAGAGCAGUCGACCAGCGCGCCCCAGUCUCGAUCGGGUUCAAGGCGACUCUUGAGGACGGUGUGGGGCUUUGAAAGUACAAUCCUGCAUGGCCUUACUGUGAAUGGAUGGGCACUUUGUCUCGGUCCGGAUGCAGGAGUCCUGCCUUUAGAGGCAGCUCAGAAGCCCUGUGGAUGGAUCGUACGAGCGCCCCGGCCCAGCCCACUUGCAGCCAGUGGUAGGAGGCUUGCCGAGCAGAGAUGUGACCGGCCGAGACUGCGGUUAUUAUCGCCAAAUGAGACUGGUAGUUGUGGUUAG